Molecule: long non-coding RNA, 4932 nt
Organism: Oreochromis aureus
Lineage: Eukaryota; Metazoa; Chordata; Actinopteri; Cichliformes; Cichlidae
Source: Ensembl
AGAGCCCCAAUUUAUGAGUUUGGUUUUCUGUGACGUUACUGACGGAUCAAAGCAAGAGCAAACGCCUUUGAUCUGUCAGUGACGUCGCAAGGAACGCACGCGCAGGCGCGGCACAUGAUUAAAAGCUAGCGUGCGCUCACAGAUUUGAAUGACUCUUCGGGUGUAUCGUUCGUGACCCGCCAUAAUCCCAGGAUUUAUCGCGAAUCAAAGGUUGGAGGAAGUUUUUGGGGAAAAUGGCGGACGGUCGAAGCGGAGCGGUCCAUAAAAAAGCUCUUCAAACUGUGAAGGCUCGCUGUCAUCAGAAAGCUGAUGUGGGCGUGGCUCACGCCUUCAGCCAGUGGCAGGUGAGCAUGAAGGACAGCAUGCACCUGAACCAGGUGCUGGGCCUCCCUCUGCCUGAACCAGACGUCGCAUGGUGAGACGUUCUCUUAAAGCGCACUUCCCAAGUUCACAAGGUCGUUUGCAGCUCAGCCCGGGCGCAGGACGAGCUGCGACUGGAUGAUUGGCUGCUGCUGAAAACUUCGUACAAAACCAAGGAGAGUAGGAAUCGCUACAACAAAGUGGACCUGAGCCGGAAGGAGGAGCGCCGAGCCACGGACCUCCUCUGACAGUCGGACAAUCGCUGGAACCACCAUCACCAUCCACUCUGGGCUUCAGCCCACUUUGUAGCUUUACAAAUACAGGCCAUUUACAGAUGAGUUAUGGAUUUGAUGGCCUCUUGUGGGCAGUCCUCCCUCUGUUGACUCAUUCUUUGCUCCAGCACCUCUGCAGGAAAAUGUCAGAGUCUAUGUGUGACAAAUAUCUUCUAUUUUUUAACAAUCUGGGUCAUUUGUGAUUUAACGGGAAACAUGAAUUUAUUAGAGGACCGGGGGACAGGAAAGAGAAAGAACGAGGGGAAGAGAGAGAGAAGACAACACAGCAGGGAAACCAUGGCAACAACCAACCUCAGCAACAGUAAAUAAUAAACAUAAUUGUUACUGAGAAGCACACAGGACUGAUAAUGCAUAAUAUGUUUAGAGACAGCAGCCAACCCAGACAGUGUGUGUCUCUGAACACCUGUGUGUGUGAGCGCACUUAUGUUCAUAAGGAUUUUCCAUGUAAGUGUCUGAUAGUGGGUGUGGGGAGCCAUAGCCCCGCCCCCCAAGUAAUUGAGGGAGGCAUGGAGGAGAUCCCCUCAUAGCCGAGGAGGACAGACUCAAUUCAGGGCUUAAUAUGACGAAGGUUUCAGGUAUUCGAGCAGCUCGGUGGCAUAACUAUAUUACUGAGGGACACCAGUACUAGAAGGAUCAGUGGGUUUCAUGAAAUCUAUGUAUUUUUUGAUAAAAACAUUGUUAUAAUGUUGCCUUUACACAGGUCUUUAGCAUGAAAUGGUGGUAAUGCUCUUUCUUCUCCCUCUACAGCUUCAUUUAAAGACACUGAUCAGCUCGAGGUGUUGUUAAUAAGCUGUAGGUCAGCGGACAGCUGACCAGAACACCACUCCCUGGCUGUAUGGAUCUAACAGCAGGUGAUCUGUAUCUGUACUAACACCUUUUUCUGAUUCUUUUUUUCCCCUCUCCUAGACAUUUCUGCAUAGUCAUUGAAUGAGUUUCCAUGGCCGAGCAGCUGCAUCCAAGCCUUGUGUCACCAAGAGCAAUGCAAAUCAUUGGCUGCGUGUAAAAAACGCCGCCAUCGGAAUCUCUAAGGUUCUGUGAAGUUGGGAAUUGAUAAGAAUUUAGCAAUUACGAUUCCAUUAUCGACAUCACUCAUCGAUUCGAUUCUUUUAUUGAUUCUCAUCGGGAUCUAACUGGCUCUGCUUUGUGAGUCACCACCAUCUAAACAGCACAUCAAAGAUGUUUCUGUUGGAGGAAUUUCCCCUCUGUUGUGAUCAGUGUUUGGAAUAGUUACUCAAAAAAACAUGACAUUUACACACAUUAGACAGAAAACUAAUGUGGACAUUACAGAACAGUAAUGCAAUGCUUUACUUAAUUACUCAGAGUCUGGCAUGGCAGACUCUGCAGGGCCAGAUGGCCGAUGACCUCUGGCUGAGGUGCAGCGUGCUGAGGCUCCACAGGGACCUGCAGCCAGCUCUGGUUUCUCUGGCUGGGGCUGUGCAACAGGCUCUGGUGACUGGUGCUCCAGAAGAUGCUGGAAGAGCUCGUCCCCAGCCGACUAGGAAGGUGGCUGGAUGAGCUCUCCAGUGCCUCCAGCCUAAAUGAGGAACUGCUGGAAAGGCUCUACUGAACCCCCAGUUUCUGAACAAGCCCGGACAGAGUUUCAGCCUCUGGAGGAGCCGGUGCAGCAACACAAAAUAAGUUUUCUAUGCUGUUGUCUAUGAAAAGGUGUCAAUAGGUCCACAGCUUGACUCCAAGUUACACAUGGAAUAUGAAGAAACAUUCACGGCAGGUUUAGAGGUAAAACACACGGGAAAAUCAAUAAACCUGGAACAGAGAGCCAAACCUGGGCUGGCUGCCCCAACCAGACCAGGCUUGCUUGGACUAUUCUCUGGAUAGAAAACAAGACUAUCAUGGCUACCUUCAACACAUCUUAUUGUCUCUUUGUUCAUAUUGUCAUCAUCAAAAACUUUAUUUUGGCAGUUACGCAGUUGAAAUAAGUCAUUUCCAGAGACUGAACUCCCAUAAACGGUAUUCAAAUUCACUCCCUUGCAAAUAUAACAGCGAAUUCAGGCUCAACAUUUUCAGUCUUUAGUUCUUUCUUUGAACAAAGAAACAGAAGGCACAGCUUCAUCGCUGGCCAACCUGAAAACAGUUUUUAAAGAAGCAGGACACUGGGUGGCCAUAGAGCCCAGGACACAGAGAGAACGAGUCUCUAUUUACCUCUACAGAGAGAACUGGAGGUGAAAAACACUUACCUCUGGCUGUUGCUCCAGUGAAGUGCCAGACUCCGACCUUGGUGCAAUCCACUGGCAACAUGAACACUGCUUCCUUGUAGGAGGAAGAAGGAGGGAAAGCCCCAGCUAUUUUUCAGCAUGUGGUGGAGCAAAAAUUUAGUGGAUUGAAUGGAGUCCAGUGCUAUAUGACAUACUUGUCACUGGCAAAACAGAUGAGGAGAACUUGAGAAAUCUGGAUGCCACACUGCAGCGGCUGGAAGAACAUAGUCUGGAAAAAUAUGUAUAAUUUCUCACAUUUUUCUCUAGUCAACUGCAUUUCUAUCUGGGACUUCUUAUCUAUUAUGGGAGGUUUAUUCCAAACCUGUCUUCCAUGCUCAAACCUUGUGAUCAUGGUGCCAUGAUGAGUCGUGGAAAUGGGCAGAGCUGUGUGAAAAAGCAUUUAAACAGACAAAGACUGCAUUGUCAGAGUCUGAUACUUUAGCACAUUUUGAUGCUAGACUGCCUAUAAAACUGGCUUAUGAUGCUUCUUCAUACGGUGUAGGUGCAGCUGUAUCUCACAUCAUGCCAAAUGAGGAAGAAAACCAGUUACUUUUGCUUCAUGUACCCUCAGCAAGCCAGAGAGCGAAUAUGCUCAGAUUGAACGUGAAGCACGGGGAAUUGUGUUUGGUGUUUUGGGGAGAAAGUUUAUUCUUUCAACAGACCAUCAUCCCCUCAACAAUCUUUGAGUCCCACACAGAUAUUCUACCAUUAGCUGCAGGCCGAAUGCUGUUGUAAGCACACACCUAUAAAAUAAAGUACAGGAAAUCUGAGCUUCAUGGGAUGCAGAUGGCCUCUCCAGGUUACCACUUUAAACAGUGAAGGAAGAGCCACCACAAGCAGACAUCUUUUACUUCAGGCAAGUGGAGAAAGCUCCUAUAACUCCUCUGCACGUAAAAUGGCAGAUCAGACCCAAGCCUGUGUUGUCAGGACCCAGGAGGACGUUAUGUGGAGCAGGGCUGUGCAGAGAUGUUUAAAGGGGCGGGUGCUCAAAGUUAAAAAAUGGCACAUAGAACCAGGCUGAAGAACAACAACACACAUUCAUCCAGAAUCUAAUAUGGAAUCGUAUCAUCAGGUGGGCACAAAGCAAACGUAGCCUGUGUUUUAUCUGAUGGGUAGAGUGUUGCUGCUGAUAGUGCUGGAGGGCAGGGCUGUGUUGAUCUGAGACUGUAGACUGUAAAAAGUCCAUAGGAGAGAUGGUAGUUCAUUAAACAAGUGUUAGGAGUUAAUAAAAUGCAAAGAUUGGUGACAGCGCUUGGAACCAUCAGGCAACAAAACUGGUGAAUAAACUCGGCUCUGCCUGCGAGUCACUCGUUGCCUCUCUUCCUCCUUCCAUCUCCUCGUCUCAUCUAUCACUCUCCACUUACUGUCCAUCUGAGAACAAGGCACAAUCUGCUAUUGCAUUAAUUUAUUAUUAUUAAUAUAAUAAUAUCAUUUAUUAUUUAAUUAUCCACACUUAACUCUUGCACCUAAUCCAUCAUAAAGUAAUAAUAGAAUAGAAUAGUGCCCAGCAGACUGUUCACAAAGCUGAGGGAUCUGGGACUCAACAGCUGUCUGUGUGCAUGGGUGUUGGACUUCCUCACUGGCAGAACUCAGGUGGUGAGGGUGGGUAGAUGCGUCUCUAACAGCAUCACCAUCAACACAGGAGCACCACAGGGGUGUGUCCUCUCACCACUGCUCUACUCCCUCUACACUUCAGACUGUGUGGCCACCCACGGCUCCAACACCAUUGUGAAAUUUGCUGACGACGCAGUGGUGUUGGGCGCCAUCUCCAACAACGAUGAGGCGGCCUACAUGGAUGAAGUGAAGAAUCUGGCAUCAUGGUGCCAGGACAACCACCUCCAGCUGAACGUCGGCAAGACCAAGGAGCUGGUGGUGGACUUCAGAAGGAGUCAGCACAGAGACUACAAGCCCAUUAUCAUUAAUGGAGCUCCAGUGGAGAGGGUGCAGUCCUUCAAGUAUCUCAGUGUCCACAUCUCCUCAGACCUGACAUGGUCUGCCCACAUUCAGGUCCAGACCAAAAAGGCUAGGCAGCGCCUGUAUCACCUAUGACAACUGAGGAAGUUCAG